UGUAAGUUGACAUAGUCCCAGG
This 22-nucleotide microRNA is filed under the name Platynereis dumerilii (Dumeril's clam worm). Its description in RNAcentral is "Pdu-Mir-1990-P2_5p (mature (guide))". The record is from RNAcentral. Lineage: Eukaryota; Metazoa; Annelida; Polychaeta; Phyllodocida; Nereididae. RNAcentral also lists the same sequence under 2 other names.